GAUGAAGAACGCAGCGAAAUGCGAUAAGUAAUGUGAAUUGCAGAAUUCAGUGAAUCAUCGAAUCUUUGAACGCACAUUGCGCCCCUUGGUAUUCCGAGGGGCAUGCCUGUUCGAGCGUCAUUAUAACCCCUCAAGCUCAGCUUGGUGUUGGGGCCUGCUGCACUGGCAGCCCUUAAAAUCAGUGGCGGCGCCAUCUGGCUCUAAGCGUAGUAAUUCUUCUCGCUAUGGAGUCCUGGUGGAUGCUUGCCAUCAACCCCCAAUUUUUCUAUGGUUGACCUCGGAUCAGGUAGGGAUACCCGCUGAACUAAAGCAUAUCAAUAAGCGGAGGA
Molecule: unclassified non-coding RNA, 329 nt
Filed under: soil metagenome
Description: partial contains 5.8S ribosomal RNA, internal transcribed spacer 2, and large subunit ribosomal RNA
Rfam family: 5.8S ribosomal RNA (bases 1-120)
Source: RNAcentral